GACGAACGCUGGCGGCGUGCUUAACACAUGCAAGUCGAACGGAAAGGCCCUGCUUUUGUGGGGUGCUCGAGUGGCGAACGGGUGAGUAACACGUGAGUAACCUGCCCUUGACUUUGGGAUAACUUCAGGAAACUGGGGCUAAUACCUGAUAGGAGCUCCUGCUGCAUGGUGGGGGUUGGAAAGUUUCGGCGGUUGGGGAUGGACUCGCGGCUUAUCAGCUUGUUGGUGGGGUAGUGGCUUACCAAGGCUUUGACGGGUAGCCGGCCUGAGAGGGUGACCGGCCACAUUGGGACUGAGAUACGGCCCAGACUCCUACGGGAGGCAGAAGUGGGGAAUAUUGCACAAUGGGCGGAAGCCUGAUGCAGCAACGCCGCGUGCGGGAUGACGGCCUUCGGGUUGUAAACCGCUUUCGCCUGUGACGAAGCGUGAGUGACGGUAAUGGGUAAAGAAGCACCGGCUAACUACGUG
Molecule: ribosomal RNA, 468 nt
Filed under: uncultured bacterium
Lineage: Bacteria
Description: partial 16S ribosomal RNA
Rfam family: Bacterial small subunit ribosomal RNA
Source: RNAcentral